Molecule: ribosomal RNA, 468 nt
Filed under: uncultured bacterium
Lineage: Bacteria
Description: partial 16S ribosomal RNA
Rfam family: Bacterial small subunit ribosomal RNA
Source: RNAcentral
GACGAACGCUGGCGGCGUGCUUAACACAUGCAAGUCGAACGGAAAGGCCCUGCUUUUGUGGGGUGCUCGAGUGGCGAACGGGUGAGUAACACGUGAGUAACCUGCCCUUGACUUUGGGAUAACUUCAGGAAACUGGGGCUAAUACCGGAUAGGAGCUCCUGCUGCAUGGUGGGGGUUGGAAAGUUUCGGCGGUUGGGGAUGGACUCGCGGCUUAUCAGCUUGUUGGUGGGGUAGUGGCUUACCAAGGCUUUGACGGGUAGCCGGCCUGAGAGGGUGACCGGCGACAUUGGGACUAAGAUACGGCGCAGACUCGUACGGGAGGCAGCAGUGGGGAAUAUUGCACAAUGGGCGGAAGCCUGAUGAAGCAACGCCGCGUGCGGGAUGACGGCCUUCGGGUUGUAAACCGCUUUCGCCUGUGACGAAGCGUGAGUGACGGUAAUGGGUAAAGAAGCACCGGCUAACUACGUG